GACGAACGCUGGCGGCGUGCUUAACACAUGCAAGUCGAACGGAAAGGCCCUGCUUUUGUGGGGUGCUCGAGUGGCGAACGGGUGAGUAACACGUGAGUAACCUGCCCUUGACUUUGGGAUAACUUCAGGAAACUGGGGCUAAUACCGGAUAGGAGCUCCUGCUGCAUGGUGGGGGUUGGAAAGUUUCGGCGGUUGGGGAUGGACUCGCGGCUUAUCAGCUUGUUGGUGGGGUAGUGGCUUACCAAGGCUUUGACGGGUAGCCGGCCUGAGAGGGUGACCGGCCACAUUGGGACUGAGAUACGGCCCAGACUCCUACGGGAGGCAGCAGUGGGGAAUAUUGCACAAUGGGCGGAAGCCUGAUGCAGCAACGCCGCGUGCGGGAUGACGGCCUUCGGGUUGUAAACCGCUUUCGCCUGUGACGAAGCGUGAGUGACGGUAAUGGGUAAAGAAGCACCGGCUAACUACGUGCCAGCAGCCGCGGUGAUACGUAGGGUGCGAGCGUUGUCCGGAUUUAUUGGGCGUAAAGGGCUCGUAGGUGGUUGAUCGCGUCGGAAGUGUAAUCUUGGGGCUUAACCCUGAGCGUGCUUUCGAUACGGGUUGACUUGAGGAAGGUAGGGGAGAAUGGAAUUCCUGGUGGAGCGGUGGAAUGCGCAGAUAUCAGGAGGAACACCAGUGGCGAAGGCGGUUCUCUGGGCCUUUCCUGACGCUGAGGAGCGAAAGCGUGGGGAGCGAACAGGCUUAGAUACCCUGGUAGUCCACGCUGUAAACGGUGGGUACUAGGUGUGGGGUCCAUUCCACGGGUUCCGUGCCGUAGCUAACGCCUUAAGUACCCCGCCUGGGGAGUACGGCCGCAAGGCUAAAACUCAAAGGAAUUGACGGGGCCCCGCACAAGCGGCGGAGCAUGCGGAUUAAUUCGAUGCAACGCGUAAAACCUUACCUGGGUUUGACAUGGAUCGGGAGUGCUCAGAGAUGGGUGUGCCUCUUUUGGGGUCGGUUCACAGGUGGUGCAUGCCUGUCGUCAGCUCGUGUCGUGAGAUGUUGGGUUAAGUCCCGCAACGAGCGCAACCCUUGUUCACUGUUGCCAGCACGUUAUGGUGGGGACUCAGUGGAGACCGCCGGGGUCAACUCGGAGGAAGGUGGGGAUGACGUCAAGUCCUCAUGCCCCUUAUGUCCAGGGCUUCACGCAUGCUACAAUGGCUGGUACAGAGAGUGGCGAGCCUGUGAGGGUGAGCGAAUCUCGGAAAGCCGGUCUCAGUUCGGAUUGGGGUCUGCAACUCGACCUCAUGAAGUCGGAGUCGCUAGUAAUCGCAGAUCAGCAACGCUGCGGUGAAUACGUUCCCGGG
RNAcentral lists this ribosomal RNA (1343 nucleotides) under uncultured bacterium. RNAcentral's name for it is "16S ribosomal RNA". It matches the Rfam family "Bacterial small subunit ribosomal RNA", at positions 28 to 1378 of the family's 1533-position model. The record is from RNAcentral.